GUAUAAGAGACAGCAGCCGCCGCGGGAAAACGUAGGGUGCAAGCGUUAAUCGGAAUUACUGGGCGUAAAGCGUGCGCAGGCGGUUCGUUAAGACAGAUGUGAAAUCCCCGGGCUUAACCUGGGAACUGCAUUUGUGACUGGCGAGCUAGAGUAUGGCAGAGGGGGGUAGAAUUCCACGUGUAGCAGCGAAAUGCGUAGAGAUGUGGAGGAAUACCGAUGGCGAAGGCAGCCCCCUGGGCCAAUACUGACGCUCAUGCACGAAAGCGUGGGGAGCAAACAGGAUUAGAUACCCGUGUAGUCCCUGUCUCUUAUAC
RNAcentral lists this ribosomal RNA (314 nucleotides) under uncultured bacterium. RNAcentral describes it as "partial 16S ribosomal RNA". It matches the Rfam family "Bacterial small subunit ribosomal RNA", at positions 499 to 807 of the family's 1533-position model. The record is from RNAcentral.